Molecule: ribosomal RNA, 463 nt
Filed under: uncultured bacterium
Lineage: Bacteria
Description: bacterial SSU rRNA
Rfam family: Bacterial small subunit ribosomal RNA
Source: RNAcentral
ACGCUGGCGGCGUGCCUAACACAUGCAAGUCGAACGGAGUUAUUCCUUCGGGGAUAACUUAGUGGCGACGGGUGAGUAACGCGUGAGUAACCUGGCCUUUCGAAGAGGGGGGAUAACGUUCUGAAAAGAUCGCUAAUACCGCAUGAGACUACAGAGCUGCAUGGCUCAGUGGUCAAAGGAGCAAUCCGCUCAAGGAUGGACUCGCGUCUGAUUAGAUAGUUGGUGAGGUAACGGCUCACCAAGUCGACGAUCAGUAGCCGAACUGAGAGGUUGAUCGGCCACAUUGGGACUGAGACACGGCCCAGACUCCUACGGGAGGCAGCAGUGGGGAAUAUUGGGCAAUGGGCGCAAGCCUGACCCGGCAAUGCCGCGUGAAGGAAGAAGGCCUUCGGGUUGUAAACUUCUUUUAUGAGGGACGAAGAAAGUGACGGUACCUCAUGAAUAAGCCACGGCUAACUACGUG